AUCUGAAGCAUUCAAAAAUCUCAAGUCAAGCCCACAAUAUAAUGCCAACAGGGUAAUUUUGGCCCAGUAACAUGCCCUCCUGGCAAGAGCUACCACAGUGCAGCACCAGUAAAGACACAGUAGCUUGGAUAUGGUUUUUCAGCAUGGCUGCUCUUGCCCAGGCUAGGCUAAUUUGGGUGCCAAUCACCCAAGUUAAUGCUGCAGUGAAAACUACCCGAAACGAAGAGUAAUUCCAGUGCAGUCAAAGGUCAUCUUGUUGUCCCUUUACUCUAUUUUUAUUAUGAGUCUCAUAAUAUUUGGUGUUUUACUUACUGCCCCAGAUCCUGGAGGCAAGUGAUUGUGAGAUUUUCAGCUUUCAUAUAAAAAGGUUACCAACCCAUGAGAGAUUGGAUUCCAAUGAGGGAAUUUGUGGAGUGCUGCUCGUGGCAUCCUCUGAGCAAACGCAUGUUGGUGGAAAGUCAGAUACAGAGAACUGGAAUGGGCUUGCACCUCCCCAGCGCUUCCAAUCAACACACCACCAGAAGGAGAGGAUCACAACUAACCAGCUGAGAAUCAAGAAUGGGGGGCUGUGCCAUCACUGCUGACUGUUGGUCCUGCUCAUUGCUUUCUAGCCUAUAUACCUUCUUGGUAAGCAAAUACUCUGUCAGGCCUUCCUGCCCCCUUCCAUCUCCAACUAUGACAGUAGUAGAAGCAAGCAACAGAACUAGCUGGCCAUAUGCUUGGCUGUUGGAAGAGCUGUCAUUCAGAGGACUGACAAACAUGAAGCUGUCUGUUGUGUCAAAUCGUGCAUCUUUGCUGCAGUACAGAUUUUGGAGGGGGCUGCAAGCAGUGGCCCACCUCACAUGGGAGAGUCUUCCUCCAUCCCCCUUGCACCCAGGCUCUGAAGUAUCUGGCCACCUAUAUCCCGCUCAGAUGCCAGGAGUGGCUUGAGAGGCAAAGACAAUCACCUCCUUGCUCUUGCCUGUACUGCCCCUCACACUUGGAGCCAGAGCCCCAUAAACAUCUCCAAGGUCACCUCACUGUCCACCUCCAGCUCCCUCUUGGAAACUCUUUUGCUGUGAUGCCUACAAAAAACCUUGCCAACAGGCUGCUGGUGAGCUGAGAACACUUCCUGUCAUGCUGAUCAGUAUUGUCUUGUUUCCUGGUAUUCCCCUCCCUCUCUCUCUACCCAUCGUCUCUUGUCUUAUACUUAGACUGUAAGCUCUUUGGGAUAGGGACCAUCUUUUUUUCUUCUGUUUGUACAACGCCUAGCACAAUGGGGUUCUAGUUCCCGACUCAAGCUCCUGGAUGCUACUGCAGAACAAAAUAAUACCUGAACAUUGGUUUCUGGAGCCCUAUCCUUUCUUUGGGAGAGGGAGCAAAGGUAUACAUACAAGGGAGAACAAGGAGAGAUGCAAGCAACAAAUCUCUCCCCAACUGCAUGAGAAACCAGCAAGGAGCAAGGGUAAGUGCAGGCCCUGUGGGUUGCAUGUCUUCCCCACGAGAGCUCUGAUGGUGCAGAACAGGAGAUGGGAUAGCCAUAGGGGAUAGACCACGUCUGAUCUAGCAUGGCAGCCAGGAGGGGCCAGAUUUUAGAAUGUAUUUAGUGCUUAAAGAUGCAGGCUAUAGACACUAAUGGGAUUUUCAAAAGCACCUAAGCAGGUUAGGCCCCUGAAUCCCACUGAAACCAAUGGGAGUUAGGUGACUAGCUUGCUUGGGCAUUUUGAAAAUCCCACUAGGCCCCUAAAUACCUUUGAAAAUCUGGCCCUAGAUGCCAAGGAAGGUUGGUGGAGUAUGGGGAAAGAGUACCAUUAAAAAGUUCAAAGUUAUAGUACUGUGUAUGUUAAAUGAGACACCCCAGGGGUAUUUGUGUCAGUCUGAAGAUGGCAGUUGGUGGUUGUGGGACAGGAUUUUUGGAAUAUAGACACACAGUAUAUUUUAGAGGAAGAUUCAUCUUUAAAGUGCUACAGUAACUAAUUUAGCAGGUAACCAGAUAGGAUCAAGGGAACUCUUCCAAUUGUAUCUCAGCACCAAUCCAGCCUCUAAAAUGUAGGAGGUUCUCAACAGCCCCAAUACCCAUUCCCAUCCCAGACACACCCCCAGGCAUGCCUUGGUUCAAAAUAGCUCCCACUGAAACACUAACGAGGAAUGGUUUGAUUUUAAAAAUUCUGAUUUAUUCAAGAAAAAAAAUGGCUUCCUCUUUCAAUGCAUGUCCAAGGAACAAAACACAUGUAACUGGCUCUUCAUUUAAAAAUAAACAUUUCUCAUCUCUGGCCAUGUAAAAUAGCCUGAAGGCAGCAAGUCAGACUACAGCAUCCCCUGAUAGAGUCCCUUAUUCCCCACAGAAGGAUACUCUCCCAGCAAGAACGAGCUAGGGGUGUGUGAUUUGAUCAGCAACUGGAAAUACAUCAAAAACAAAUCGUGAGAGAGUAAAUUUCAGUUCUCGAAUUCAAGACAGCAAGGGGCUGACAGCGCUAGCUGGAACCAGGCGAACGCUGCACAAGCUACUCAUGCACAGCUCUGCCAACGGCCAUCAAUCCCGACCUGCAGCAUCCCCCGCAGCUCCAGUCGUGAGCCCCUGUGCAGUGAGUACCACUUGAUACAGAGCCUCCAUAAAAUUUGGCUUCUGUGCAAACGUCCACUGGGGAUCUGGAGGAGAUCUAUCAAAUUCAUUUAACUGGCAACCAGCUCUGGAUCUGGACUAGAGCGUUAGCUGCAUUGAGCCCAAGGCUGGAUCACUAACCUUCACCUUACUGAUGACAGUUAAAAUGAACAUCAGUCAGAAACCAGCUUAUUUCUAGUACACUUACAAGAAAAUGCCUGUAUGGAAUAGCUGCACAUGCAAAAGAGAAGGCUUGUUGCUCUGAGACAGUAAGGCAGCAGGUCAGUAAUAGUGCACUCACACUAACUCUGAUGGGACGUUUAAAUCUACAGUCGGUUGCUUGGUCCAAUGGAAAGAAUCCAUUUUUGACAGAACACAUGAUCAUCACCUCUCUUUCUUCCCACUGUUUAUGUAGUGGCAGGUCAUCCUGCCACGGUGAUCUAGUAGGUGGGUAGCUUUUCAUUUCAACACAGCAAAAUAAAGGUCAUUAAAAAAACCCACAACCCAAAGCACUAAGUGAAGUUAGUGAGACAAAGUGCCCAACUGGCACCCAUGGAGUCUGAGGUCCCCUCUUUAGCCCCAAAAGAAGUACAGUAAAGGUAGUCACAGUUUGGGCUUCACAUCCCCCCAACAACGUACCUCUAAUCCAGAGCAAGUGGGAUUCUCUAGGGGGAAGGUGGGGAAGAGGUGUUCUGCCUCCAUAGCUUAUUCAAUCCUUGGUCUUUUUGUUGAGGUUCCCACUGAGUGACAGUGGCCCUGGUGGUUGUCAUGUGGGCACCUGUUUGCCAGGAACUGAGCCGAGACCAGAAACCACAAGUUCAGCUCAUGCAAGCCACCACAAGGAGACACUUUUUUUUUUUUUUUUUUGGCAGUUCAAGCCAAGUCUUUACUCCAGAUCCUUUGUUGGGAGGCCUUACGGUGAUGUUAGACUCUCUGGAGCCUGCUCAGUCAGUCCUUGCAUGCACAGCAGCCCCCCUCUCCUUCACCCAGUCCCCCCUCCCCCAAAAAACCCUUUCCUCCUGCAGCCCUGGGAAAGUGGGCUGCCUCCCACUACAUAGGUGGGGGUUCACCCUUGUUGGCUCUCUCCAAUCCAGAUCAGCCAAUGGUCUGUUUAGACAUUUUUAAAUUGUGUUUCUUUAAUAAAACAGCCAUCUAGAAAGGAUAGAUCUGAUUUGUGGAUGGAGGUUCCAACAAUGCAGGAUUUGGUAUAAGUGGCAGGGGAGAGACUAGCUGGCUAACUGAACCAUACAAAAGCGCCAUCCCCUUUGGAGCAGCUGAGUUACACCACCUAUCCCCCAUUUCCAGGGGGAAGGGAGCAUGUUUAAUACAUGAUACGUUGUAUUUCUCCAGUAACUGAAGAUUCCCAAGGCCUGUGGGUAUCUGGUCUAACCACACACCUACCAUGCUUUCCCUCUGACAGGUAUAACUAUGCCCUGUAUCCUGCAUUGUGGUUCCAGGGGGGCGGGUACCACUCUAAUCCCUCCCUGCCUCCAGGCAGUCUCGUUGUUAGUAUCAGGAAAGCCAUACAGUGCAUGCACCCAAUGGAUGUUCUCUGCUGGACCCUCCAUAUGCCAAUAGCUAUGGAGAGCUUUCCCACGGGGGGGUUGUAUCCAGGAUCUGUGUCCAGUCCCUUCUCAGGAUUCAAUCCAGUCCUUGUCCGAUACACCACAGAAAAAAGGAAAACAAAAACCAUUAAACAAA
Dermochelys coriacea (leatherback sea turtle) is the source of this 4282-nucleotide long non-coding RNA. RefSeq lists it as uncharacterized. The transcript has 3 exons. The record is from RefSeq and is a predicted model, not a curated record. NCBI's taxonomy places the organism in Eukaryota, Metazoa, Chordata, Testudines, Dermochelyidae.